AGUGAACGCUGGCGGUAGGCCUAACACAUGCAAGUCGAACGGCAGCACAGUAAGAGCUUGCUCUUACGGGUGGCGAGUGGCGGACGGGUGAGGAAUACAUCGGAAUCUACUUUUUCGUGGGGGAUAACGUAGGGAAACUUACGCUAAUACCGCAUACGACCUACGGGUGAAAGCAGGGGAUCUUCGGACCUUGCGCGAUUGAAUGAGCCGAUGUCGGAUUAGCUAGUUGGCGGGGUAAAGGCCCACCAAGGCGACGAUCCGUAGCUGGUCUGAGAGGAUGAUCAGCCACACUGGAACUGAGACACGGUCCAGGCUCCUACGGGAGGCAGCAGUGGGGAAUAUUGGACAAUGGGCGCAAGCCUGAUCCAGCCAUACCGCGUGGGUGAAGAAGGCCUUCGGGUUGUAAAGCCCUUUUGUUGGGAGAGAAAAGCAGCAGGUUAAUACCCCGCUGUUCUGACGGUACCCAAAGAAUAAGCACCGGCUAACUUCGCG
This 492-nucleotide ribosomal RNA is filed under the name uncultured bacterium. RNAcentral's name for it is "partial 16S ribosomal RNA". It matches the Rfam family "Bacterial small subunit ribosomal RNA", at positions 29 to 507 of the family's 1533-position model. The record is from RNAcentral.